RNAcentral lists this ribosomal RNA (686 nucleotides) under uncultured Mycobacterium sp. RNAcentral's name for it is "bacterial SSU rRNA". It matches the Rfam family "Bacterial small subunit ribosomal RNA", at positions 133 to 833 of the family's 1533-position model. Lineage: Bacteria; Bacillati; Actinomycetota; Actinomycetes; Mycobacteriales; Mycobacteriaceae. The record is from RNAcentral.
GCACUUCGGGAUAAGCCUGGGAAACUGGGUCUAAUACCGAAUAGGACCAUUUAGCGCAUGCUUUAUGGUGGAAAGCUUUUGCGGUGUGGGAUGGGCCCGCGGCCUAUCAGCUUGUUGGUGGGGUGGCGGCCUACCAAGGCGACGACGGGUAGCCGGCCUGAGAGGGUGUCCGGCCACACUGGGACUGAGAUACGGCCCAGACUCCUACGGGAGGCAGCAGUGGGGAAUAUUGCACAAUGGGCGCAAGCCUGAUGCAGCGACGCCGCGUGGGGGAUGACGGCCUUCGGGUUGUAAACCUCUUUCAGCAGGGACGAAGCGCAAGUGACGGUACCUGCAGAAGAAGCACCGGCCAACUACGUGCCAGCAGCCGCGGUAAUACGUAGGGUGCGAGCGUUGUCCGGAAUUACUGGGCGUAAAGAGCUCGUAGGUGGUUUGUCGCGUUGUUCGUGAAAUCUCACGGCUUAACUGUGAGCGUGCGGGCGAUACGGGCAGACUGGAGUACUGCAGGGGAGACUGGAAUUCCUGGUGUAGCGGUGGAAUGCGCAGAUAUCAGGAGGAACACCGGUGGCGAAGGCGGGUCUCUGGGCAGUAACUGACGCUGAGGAGCGAAAGCGUGGGGAGCGAACAGGAUUAGAUACCCUGGUAGUCCACGCCGUAAACGGUGGGUACUAGGUGUGGGUUUCCUU